AUUGCCUUCGGAAAGAAGAUGACGGCCAAGUUUGGAAACUUGCUGCCGAUAGAAGCUGUUGAUAAGCCACCGACUGCCAUAAAAUGGAAGUCAAGAGAGGGUGCUGUAUACACACUCAUGGCUUUGGAUUUGAACGCUACUCCGAAGGCGCAUCGAACGGACGAAACGAAGUCGGGGCAGCUCCUGUGGUUGGUCGUCAACAUCCCUGCCUCUGGAAGCGACGCGGUGAAAGUAGCCGAGGGCACCACUCUCGCAUCGUACGUCCCUCCAAGCCUCGAUCCAAUCAAGGAGGCUCCAGAGGAAUGGAAUAGCUUUGCAAAAUCAAUCGAGAUGGUACAGAGAUUUCGUCACCAGUUAAGUCAGAUUAUCUCGUCUGAUCAAGAGGAUCAUCGGAUUCUCUUCAUGGUAUUCGAACAACUGGGUGGAUAUAAGAAUUUCACGUUCCCAGUUUUAGAUGACAACCCAAACGACGCACGGCGGAACGAAUUCAACGUUCAUAAAUUCGUAGAGGAGCAAAAAUUGGAACGCCCGGUGGCGGUCAACUUCUACAUGACGCGAGAAGGACUCCCGGGGGCGGAGGAAACACCCUCGAAGAAAGGGUCAAAGGGCGCGGAGGAUGUCAAGAGCGAAAGCUUCAACCCCCACGAAGAAGAGGAGGAGGAGAAGGAGAUUGAAUACAUUUAGAGCGCCUCUCUUGCUUAAUAUAAUAUGAGCUGCUAUGCUUAAUAUAAACUGAGAAAAGAGAUUCGAUGCUCCCAUAAUGCUUAUAGUUGAUUCCAGGUCCUUUCAGCUUUCCUUAUCGUAGUUAUUACAUGACUUUCGGGGUCGGAAAAAUACCUAAUCGCCUACAGAAAAGAGAAUGAAAUUCAAAGUGUUAAAAAUCGUCGUAUUCCUCACGAAAGAACGUAUGUGGAUUUCCAUGUUGCCAAAUUUUUCUCUAACAAAUUGCGCUUUUACUAGGAGAAUUUUGGGCAUUUCUACUCUGGGAAAAAGGUCUCUUGGAUCCGGAGUCCAGACUUUCAAAAAAUUAGACAAGAAAAAAUACUCUGGAUUCGAUCGGAUUUUUGCUUGAAUCUAAAGAAAAUCCGCUUACAUUAAGAGUGUUGGCCCUCGAUUCAUGUGAAAAUCCGACUGAAUCAAGAGUAUUUUUUCUCGUCAAAUUGUUUAAAAGUCUGGACUCUAAAUCCAAGAGACUUUUUUUCCAGCACUACUGAAAAUUUUACUGAAUUUUCCUCUAACUCAUGCAAAAAUCAAGACAAAUUUUUGACAAAAAUUUCACAUAAUCAUUCCUGCACUGGUAAAAAAAAACACAUUGGAGCUAGAGUCUAGACUCUUGAAAACAUUGACAAGAAAAUGGACUCUUGAUUCAAUCAGAUACAAGCUUAAAUCAAAAUCCAAGCCUCUUAAUUUGAGCGGAUUUCCUUUCAGCGGAAAAUCAAAACAAAUUUUUGACAAAAAUUUCAUAUAUUCAUUUCUGCACUGGCAAAAAAAAACACAUUGGAUCUAGAGUCCAGACUCUUGAAAACAUUGACAAGAAAAUGGACUCUUGAUUCAAUCAGAUUUUCGCUUAAAUCAAAAGGAAAUCCGCUCAAAUUAAGAGGCUUGGUUUUUGAUUUAAGCUUGAAUCUGAUUGACUCAAGAGUCUAUUUUCUUGUCAAUGUUUUCAAGAGUCUGGACUCUAGAUCCAAUGUGUUUUUUUUUUACCAGUGUGUAAAAAACUGAAUUGUUCGAGCUAAUGUUGCAACCGUGGAAUGGAAUUACGCUCUCUCGUCUUGAGAAUGACAAAAUGGACGUAUUUAAAUAA
Molecule: long non-coding RNA, 1804 nt
Filed under: Bemisia tabaci
Lineage: Eukaryota; Metazoa; Arthropoda; Insecta; Hemiptera; Aleyrodidae
Description: lncRNA ENSSSA1NGG009154
Source: RNAcentral